GUAGGGUGCAAGCGUUAAUCGGAACUACUGGGCGUAAAGCGAGCGCAGGCGGUUUUGUAAGUCAGAUGUGAAAGCCCCGGGCUCAACCUGGGAACUGCGUUUGAAACUACAAGGCUAGAGUAUGGGAGAGGGGGGCAGGAUUCCACGUGUAGCAGUGAAAUGCGUAGAGAUGUGGAGGAAUACCAAUGGCGAAGGCAGCCCCCUGGCCUAAUACUGACGCUCAGGCUCGAAAGCGUGGGGAGCAAACAGGAUUAGAUACCCUGGUAGUCCACGCCCUAAACGAUGUCAACUAGUUGUUGGGAGAGUAAAAUCUCUUAGUAACGCANCUAACGCGUGAAGUUGACCGCCUGGGGAGU
RNAcentral lists this ribosomal RNA (356 nucleotides) under uncultured bacterium. RNAcentral's name for it is "bacterial SSU rRNA". It matches the Rfam family "Bacterial small subunit ribosomal RNA", at positions 527 to 881 of the family's 1533-position model. The record is from RNAcentral.